UGGAGACCAGCUGUGCCAGUUGCUGUAUUGGAAAAAAUGCCUGCUGUGAAUCUAGUCUGCAUGUGUUGCUUAAUUUCCUGAAUUAUCAUAUUCCCCUAAUCAGUUUCUGAGUUAAGGACCAAAAUUGAGGAUCCAGGGAAUAUGUCAUCAUGGGUAUUCCACACCCAUAUUCCCCUUCUCCAUUUCCCACUUUACAUAUGAAGAACCUGAGAUAUCUGAAAACCUCCUCCUAACAACAAGUAUUUGUAUGAAAAAAAUUAGGAACUUGAUAUUUAGCUUGUUGAAGUCUGGUGGGAAAUGCAAGAAGAUGAAGCAAUAUCUCACAGCUGUGGAAAGAGGAUCACAGGUGUACCUACGUGAUGUCUCAACCUUUUAAAUAAGAAAAAUAAUAUGCUGUGCAUGAAAUAUUGGAACUUGAAUAUUACAGGUAAUUAAAUGUAUAUGUGCGUCUGUUCAUUCAAAAUUUGAUGUAAUUUGUUUUGUAUUUCCAUUUGCUUAAAACAGUUCCUGCUUUCUGUAUGUACUCCUUUAAAACGUGU
This 539-nucleotide long non-coding RNA is filed under the name Parus major (Great Tit). RNAcentral's name for it is "lncRNA (ENSPMJG00000015878.1)". Lineage: Eukaryota; Metazoa; Chordata; Aves; Passeriformes; Paridae. The record is from RNAcentral.